AUACUUACCUGAACAGGGUCAAUGGGUGAUCAAUAAUUUUUAUGGCCUAGGUUGGUGGUCUCCAUUGCACUUAGGAGAUGCAUCAGCCUAAGGUCUGUCCAAGUGGCAGAGCCUACGUCAUAAUUUGUGGUUGUGGGGGCUUGCGUUCGCGCACCCCUUG
RNAcentral lists this small nuclear RNA (160 nucleotides) under Cephalotus follicularis. RNAcentral describes it as "U1 spliceosomal RNA". It matches the Rfam family "U1 spliceosomal RNA". Rfam says of the family: U1 is a small nuclear RNA (snRNA) component of the spliceosome (involved in pre-mRNA splicing). Its 5' end forms complementary base pairs with the 5' splice junction, thus defining the 5' donor site of an intron. There are significant differences in sequence and secondary structure between metazoan and yeast U1 snRNAs, the latter being much longer (568 nucleotides as compared to 164 nucleotides in human). Lineage: Eukaryota; Viridiplantae; Streptophyta; Magnoliopsida; Oxalidales; Cephalotaceae. The record is from Rfam by way of RNAcentral.